CUUAAACCUAUCUUAAUUUUAAAAGUGCCUGAUAUAUGAUGAGAUAAUCAAUGUUUUAAAUGUAUUUCCAGAAUGCAGAAAAAAGACAGCUUUGCUGUAUCUUCACUUGUUCAGCUCAUCUCCCACACCUGAAGUGUGAUGCGCCUGCCAGUUUACAGAUAGACAUCUGAAGCACAGAGGUUGUUUUUUAUAAGCAUUGUUUCUAAAUUGGUGCUGUACACAUCUCAUGAAGUACUUCAGCUUCCUCUUACAAUGACUAGAACUGGAGUUAAGA
Molecule: long non-coding RNA, 274 nt
Filed under: Cyanistes caeruleus (blue tit)
Lineage: Eukaryota; Metazoa; Chordata; Aves; Passeriformes; Paridae
Description: lncRNA (ENSCCEG00000015705.1)
Source: RNAcentral